AUUGAACGCUGGCGGCAGGCCUAACACAUGCAAGUCGAGCGGAUGACGGGAGCUUGCUCCUUGAUUCAGCGGCGGACGGGUGAGUAAUGCCUAGGAAUCUGCCUGGUGGGGGGGGACAACGUUUCGAAAGGAACGCUAAUACCGCAUACGUCCUACGGGAGAAAGCAGGGGACCUUCGGGCCUUGCGCUAUCAGAUGAGCCUAGGUCGGAUUAGCUAGUUGGUGGGGUAAUGGCUCACCAAGGCGACGAUCCGUAACUGGUCUGAGAGGAUGAUCAGUCACACUGGAACUGAGACACGGUCCAGACUCCUACGGGAGGCAGCAGUGGGGAAUAUUGGACAAUGGGCGAAAGCCUGAUCCAGCCAUGCCGCGUGUGUGAAGAAGGUCUUCGGAUUGUAAAGCACUUUAAGUUGGGAGGAAGGGCAGUAAGUUAAUACCUUGCUGUUUUGACGUUACCAACAGAAUAAGCACCGGCUAACUCCGUGCCAGCAGCCGCAGUAA
This 500-nucleotide ribosomal RNA is filed under the name uncultured bacterium. RNAcentral describes it as "partial 16S ribosomal RNA". It matches the Rfam family "Bacterial small subunit ribosomal RNA", at positions 30 to 523 of the family's 1533-position model. The record is from RNAcentral.